UUCGUCGCACCACACUUUGCCUUCAGUCGGUGUCCAAGUGUUCUCCGAGGACGGAAAAAUAGGCCGACUCUAUCGAGAAUUAUUCUCGAAUUGACAGAAGACCCUCGGAAAGGUAUGACGACCUCCGUGAACGGGAUUAAGGAUGUCAACGUUGUCAACGGAGAUAUUAUCAGUAAACAGAUGGAUAACGCGACGGAGAACGCGACGGAAAGACUCCUCGAAGUCGAGAUCCUUACCAAGGAAGACUUGGCUCCAGAUGGAGGCUGGGGAUGGAUGGUCGCCCUGGGCAUGAUCCUGGCUUUCGUAAGUGGCUUUAUCCAUCCGCAUGGCUCGGGGGAAGGAAUUGUCUCGCGUAAGACGACAUCCAAUGGCCCCACCGCUUCUUUUGCCAUUAUUUUUGGGGAUUUUCUUAACGAAACGGGCCAAGCUGGGUCAGCAUCGACUCUCCUAAAUUCCGUCUUCAUGGUCAGCUUCUCGUUCUCAGGUCUCCUGACGAAUUGCCUGCUGAAGAAGUUUUCCAUGAGGUCGGUCGGAAUUGCCGGAGCUAUCAUUUUUGCAAUUCCCAACAUUGCCUUGGCGUUGGUCCAGCACGUCUACCAAAUGGCACUGAUCUUCCUAUUACAGGGUAUCGGUCUCGGGUUCAUCAUCACCAUCUGCAACACGAAUUUUAACGCCUAUUUCGUUAAAAGAAGAGCUACGGUCAUGAGUGCCUCCCAGGUGAUCAUCGGUUUGGGGGGCAUUGUUUACCCCAUUUGCAUUGAAAGAAUGAUGACAGCAUUUGGCUUUCGCGGCACCGCCGCGAUGACGGGAGUUUUGAGUCUCCAUUGCGUCGUCGGCAUGACGAUGAUGCAUCCGGUGGAAUGGCAUUUCAGGGAUAGACGAGAAGUCCUUCGGGAACGAGCGGCUGCCCGAAAAUUGUCGAAAGGAGAGCUGGACGGAAGUCGAAGAUACGACGAGGUCGGAAGACGCAGCAUCGAUAUCUCCCAGGCCAAUUCCCGAAGGACCAGUCUCAGGAGUCUGAAAGAGGGACGGAUACAGGAGAUCCCUCUUCUCGUCGAGACUCUCAAGACAUCGCAGAGUCGAGUGACGUCGUCGUCGGACUUGGACAUCGGUGGACCAUUUCGACCCAGGACCAAGUCCAUCACGGCUAGGGAUGUCCUGAAGAAGAGGCUGUCGAUCCUCUCGGCUUCCAGCAUGACGAAUCUCACCAGCGUCGGGGUUCUAGGGCAGCCUGAAGUUCGCCGACAAUCCGAAAUGGAGAACAAGUUCGACUCAUCGUCGGCUAAGAAAUCCAGGACCAUUCUGACCACAUUGGCGGAUUUCUUCGAGGUUGGGUUACUGAAGGACUGGGUCUUCCUGAACUCCUGUCUGGGCAUCAGCUUCGUUUUCACGAGCGACCUCACCUUCGCAACCCUUUUGCCCCUGAUGAUGACGGAUGCUGGAUACUCCAAAAGUGACUCCGCUCUGGCAAUUACAGUGGGUGCCACCGCGGAAUUGCUUUCCAGGAUCCUCCUGGCAAUUUUUACAGUUUUCGUCAACGCAAGGGCCAAGUACAUUUUCUUCUUCGCUAUGGUUGCCAUGGUUUUUGCAAAGCUAGCCUUCCUGUAUCUGGAAGACACCUUAUCAGGAACAUUGGUGUCGAUAGCAGCGAUUGGAGUGGUGCGUUCGUGGUUGCUGGUUCCUCAUCCAUUGGUCAUUGUUGAAAAUUUCACCGUUGACAAUUUCGCAGCAGCGUAUGGUGUCUUUACGGUUGUCAGUGGAGUAACAUCCAUUGUCUUCGGACCAGUCGUUGGGUACAUAAAGGACUGGACGAACAGUUUCGACGUUUGUCAGCUCGUUCUUGUUGGUCUGAAUUUCUUGUUCGUCGUGCCAUGGAUGCUGGAAUUCUUUUGGGUGGAUUUUCUUCCCAGAAGAAAAGAUAAAGAUGCAAAGCAAGCUCCAGGAGCUUAACACGUCAUACCAUCGUCAAAGAGAUCUUGUACAUACGCACAUUGUUACUUGUGCACUGGCGGUCAUGAAUGACUUACAAGUGUACAUGGCGGCAAGUUUAAAUCCACGAAAAUGUUGGGCGGGUACGAGUGGAGAGUAGCAGAGGGAAUCCUUACCUUGGAUUAUACAUCGAGCACCAGGUGACGGAUGGAUACUCUACGAGGUCUCAACCUGAAGAAACGAGAGAAGGAGCUGACGACAAGACUGGUCAAUUUGUUAAUAUUCUUUUAAACGAGCUCAAAAAUGUAUGUACUUGCGGUACCUGAGGUAAACUAAACUGUAAAAUAAUUAAUGUAAUAAAGCAACUUAUUGAACAAUAACAA
Molecule: unclassified non-coding RNA, 2312 nt
Filed under: Orussus abietinus
Lineage: Eukaryota; Metazoa; Arthropoda; Insecta; Hymenoptera; Orussidae
Description: uncharacterized LOC105699395, transcript variant X2
Source: RNAcentral